Molecule: microRNA, 23 nt
Filed under: Bos taurus (domestic cattle)
Lineage: Eukaryota; Metazoa; Chordata; Mammalia; Artiodactyla; Bovidae
Description: bta-miR-664b
Gene: bta-miR-664b
Source: miRBase by way of RNAcentral
UAUUCAUUUAUCUCCCAGCCUAC